This 401-nucleotide ribosomal RNA is filed under the name uncultured bacterium. Its description in RNAcentral is "bacterial SSU rRNA". It matches the Rfam family "Bacterial small subunit ribosomal RNA", at positions 8 to 434 of the family's 1533-position model. The record is from RNAcentral.
AGAGUUUGAUCCUGGCUCAGAGCGAACGCUGGCGGCAGGCUUAACACAUGCAAGUCGAGCGGGCGUAGCAAUACGUCAGCGGCAGACGGGUGAGUAACGCGUGGGAACAUACCUUUUGGUUCGGAACAACCCAGGGAAACUUGGGCUAAUACCGGAUAAGCCCUUACGGGGAAAGAUUUAUCGCCGAAAGAUUGGCCCGCGUCUGAUUAGCUAGUUGGUGAGGUAAUGGCUCACCAAGGCGACGAUCAGUAGCUGGUCUGAGAGGAUGAUCAGCCACAUUGGGACUGAGACACGGCCCAAACUCCUACGGGAGGCAGCAGUGGGGAAUAUUGGACAAUGGGCGCAAGCCUGAUCCAGCCAUGCCGCGUGAGUGAUGAAAGGCCCUAGGGUUGUAAAGCUUC